This 404-nucleotide ribosomal RNA is filed under the name uncultured bacterium. RNAcentral's name for it is "bacterial SSU rRNA". It matches the Rfam family "Bacterial small subunit ribosomal RNA", at positions 355 to 776 of the family's 1533-position model. The record is from RNAcentral.
UGGGGAAUAUUGCACAAUGGGGGAAACCCUGAUGCAGCGACGCCGCGUGAGUGAAGAAGUAUUUCGGUAUGUAAAGCUCUAUCAGCAGGGACGAUAAUGACGGUACCUGACUAAGAAGCCCCGGCUAACUACGUGCCAGCAGCCGCGGUAAUACGUAGGGGGCAAGCGUUAUCCGGAUUUACUGGGUGUAAAGGGAGCGUAGACGGUGAUGUAAGUCAGAUGUGAAAGCCCAGGGCUCAACCCUGGGACUGCAUUUGAAACUAUGUUGCUAGAGUGCAGGAGAGGUAAGUGGAAUUCCUAGUGUAGCGGUGAAAUGCGUAGAUAUUAGGAGGAACACCAGUGGCGAAGGCGACUUACUGGACUGUAACUGACGUUGAGGCUCGAAAGCGUGGGGAGCAAACAGG